RNAcentral lists this ribosomal RNA (254 nucleotides) under uncultured bacterium. RNAcentral describes it as "partial 16S ribosomal RNA". It matches the Rfam family "Bacterial small subunit ribosomal RNA", at positions 524 to 776 of the family's 1533-position model. The record is from RNAcentral.
UACGUAGGCAGCGAGCGUUGUUUGGAGUUACUGGGCGUAAAGGGUGUGUAGGCGGUUGUUUAAGUUUGGUGUGAAAUCUCCCGGCUCAACUGGGAGGGUGCGCCGAAUACUGAAUGACUUCGAGUGCGGGAGAGGAGAGUGGAAUUCCUGGUGUAGCGGUGAAAUGCGUAGAUAUCAGGAGGAACACCGGUGGUGUAGACGGCUCUCUGGACCGUAACUGACGCUGAGACACGAAAGCGUGGGUAGCAAACAGG